Molecule: ribosomal RNA, 703 nt
Filed under: uncultured bacterium
Lineage: Bacteria
Description: bacterial SSU rRNA
Rfam family: Bacterial small subunit ribosomal RNA
Source: RNAcentral
GGAGUGGUCAUGCGUUACUCGGAAUCACUGGGCGUAAAGCGCGCGCAGGCGGCUAUUUAAGUUGGAUGUGAAAGCCUACGGCUCAACCGUAGAACUGCAUCCAAAACUAUUUAGCUAGAGUGUGGGAGAGGAAGAUGGAAUUAGUUGUGUAGGGGUAAAAUCCGUAGAGAUAACUAGGAAUACCAAAGGCGAAGGCAAUCUUCUGGAACACUACUGACGCUGAGGCGCGAAAGCGUGGGGAGCAAACAGGAUUAGAUACCCUGGUAGUCCACGCAGUAAACGAUGAAUGUUAGUCGUCGGGUAGCUAGUCUAUUCGGUGAUGCAGCUAACGCAUUAAACAUUCCGCCUGGGGAGUACGGUCGCAAGAUUAAAACUCAAAGGAAUAGACGGGGACCCGCACAAGUGGUGGAGCAUGUGGUUUAAUUCGAAGAUACGCGAAGAACCUUACCUAGCCUUGACAUAUAUUAGAAUCUUUCAGAGAUGAGAGAGUGCCUUCGGGAGCUUUUAUACAGGUGCUGCACGGCUGUCGUCAGCUCGUGUCGUGAGAUGUUGGGUUAAGUCCCGCAACGAGCGCAACCCUCGUCACUAGUUACUAACGGUUCGGCCGAGGACUCUAGUGAGACUGCCUUCGUAAGGAGGAGGAAGGUGAGGACGACGUCAAGUCAUCAUGGNCCUUACGGCUAGGGCAACACACGUGCUACAA